GCCUAGUUAGCUUAGUUGGUAGUGCGUCUGCCUUGUAAGCGCUAGGCCGUGGGUUCGAUUCCCGUGGGCG
This 70-nucleotide transfer RNA is filed under the name Diaphorina citri (Asian citrus psyllid). It matches the Rfam family "tRNA". From Rfam's summary of the family: Transfer RNA (tRNA) molecules are approximately 80 nucleotides in length. Their secondary structure includes four short double-helical elements and three loops (D, anti-codon, and T loops). The record is from Rfam by way of RNAcentral. Lineage: Eukaryota; Metazoa; Arthropoda; Insecta; Hemiptera; Psyllidae.